GUUGUGAGGUUAAGCGACUAAGCGUACACGGUGGAUGCCCUGGCAGUCAGAGGCGAUGAAGGACGUGCUAAUCUGCGAUAAGCGUCGGUGAGGUGAUAUGAACCGUUAUAACCGGCGAUUUCCGAAUGGGGAAACCCAGUGUGUUUCGACACACUAUCAUUAACUGAAUCCAUAGGUUAAUGAGGCGAACCGGGGGAACUGAAACAUCUAAGUACCCCGAGGAAAAGAAAUCAACCGAGAUUCCCCCAGUAGCGGCGAGCGAACGGGGAGCAGCCCAGAGCCUGAAUCAGUGUGUGUGUUAGUGGAAGCGUCUGGAAAGGCGCGCGAUACAGGGUGACAGCCCCGUACACAAAAAUGCACAUGCUGUGAGCUCGAUGAGUAGGGCGGGACACGUGGUAUCCUGUCUGAAUAUGGGGGGACCAUCCUCCAAGGCUAAAUACUCCUGACUGACCGAUAGUGAACCAGUACCGUGAGGGAAAGGCGAAAAGAACCCCGGCGAGGGGAGUGAAAAAGAACCUGAAACCAUACGCUUACAACCUGUCGGAGCGGCUUCGUGCCGUGACGGCGUGCCUAUUGAAUAAUGAGCCUACGAGUUACUAAUCACUGGCAAGGUUAAGUGCACGGAUGCACGGAGCCGAAGCGAAAGCGAGUCUGAAUAGGGCGUUUAGUCAGUGGUUGUAGACGCGAAACCUUGCGAUCUACCCUUGAGCAGGUUGAAGGUUGGGUAAAACCAACUGGAGGACCGAACGAAUAAGCGUUGAAAAGCUUCUCGAUGACUUGAGGGUAGGGGUGAAAGGCUAAUCAAGCUGGGAAAUAGCUCGUACUCCCCGAAAUGCCUUUAGGGGCAGCGUUGUAAUUAAGAGUCUACUGGAGGUAGAGCUACUGAUUGGAUGCGGGGGCUUCACCGCCUACCAAAUCCUGACAAACUCCGAAUGCCAGUAGUAUGAUUUACAGCAGUGAGCGACCGGGUGCUAAUGUCCGGUUACGAGAGUGGAACAACACAGACCAGCAACUAAGGUCCCCAAGAGUAUACUAAGUUGAUCUAACGAUGUUUUGCUGCAGAGACAGCUAGGAUGUUAGCUUGGAAGCAGCUAUUCAUUCAAAGAGUGCGUAACAGCUCACUAGUCGAGCGGCAAAGCGUGGAUAAUAAACGGGCAUCAAGUAUACCACCGAAGUUCUGGGCACGAAAGUGCGGUAGGGGAGCAUUCCAUUCCGCGUUGAAGCCGAACCGUGAGGUUUGGUGGAGUGUAUGGAAAAGCAAAUGUAGGCAUGAGUAACGAUAAUGCGGGAGAGUAACCCGCACACCGCAAGACCAAGGUUUCCUGAU
Molecule: ribosomal RNA, 1327 nt
Filed under: Bacteroides ovatus
Lineage: Bacteria; Pseudomonadati; Bacteroidota; Bacteroidia; Bacteroidales; Bacteroidaceae
Description: partial 23S ribosomal RNA
Rfam family: Bacterial large subunit ribosomal RNA
Source: RNAcentral